RNAcentral lists this ribosomal RNA (415 nucleotides) under uncultured Anoxybacillus sp. RNAcentral describes it as "bacterial SSU rRNA". It matches the Rfam family "Bacterial small subunit ribosomal RNA", at positions 967 to 1382 of the family's 1533-position model. Lineage: Bacteria; Bacillati; Bacillota; Bacilli; Caryophanales; Anoxybacillaceae. The record is from RNAcentral.
AACCUUACCAGGUCUUGACAUCCCCUGACAACCCGAGAGAUCGGGCGUUCCCCUUCGGGGGACAGGGUGACAGGUGGUGCAUGGUUGUCGUCAGCUCGUGUCGUGAGAUGUUGGGUUAAGUCCCGCAACGAGCGCAACCCUCGACCUUAGUUGCCAGCAUUCAGUUGGGCACUCUAAGGUGACUGCCGGCUAAAAGUCGGAGGAAGUGGGGAUGACGUCAAAUCAUCAUGCCCCUUAUGACCUGGGCUACACACGUGCUACAAUGGGCGGUACAAAGGGUCGCGAACCCGCGAGGGGGAGCCAAUCCCAAAAAGCCGCUCUCAGUUCGGAUUGCAGGCUGCAACUCGCCUGCAUGAAGCCGGAAUCGCUAGUAAUCGCGGAUCAGCAUGCCGCGGUGAAUACGUUCCCGGGCCUU